UAAGUUAAUAAGGGCGCACGGUGGAUGCCUUGGCACUAGGAGCCGACGAAGGACGUGACAAACGACGAUAUGCCUUGGGUAGCUGUAAGUAAGCGAUGAUCCAGGGAUUUCCGAAUGGGGGAACCCAACAGGUAAUACCUGUUACCUACAUCUGUUAAGGAUGUGAGGAGGAAGACGCAGUGAACUGAAACAUCUAAGUAGCUGCAGGAAGAGAAAGCAAAAGCGAUUGCCUUAGUAGCGGCGAGCGAAACGGCAGAAGGGCAAACCGAAGAGUUUACUCUUCGGGGUUGUAGGACUGCAAUGUGGACUCAAAGAUUAUAGAAGAAUGAUUUGGGAAGAUCAGCCAAAGAGAGUAAUAGCCUCGUAUUUAAAAUAGUCUUUGUACUUAGCAGUAUCCUGAGUACGGCGGGACACGUGAAAUCCCGUCGGAAUCUGGGAGGAACCAUCUCCCAAACCCUAAAUACUCCCUAGUGACCGAUAGUGAACCAGUACCGUGAGGGAAAGGUGAAAAGCACCCCGGGAGGGGAGUGAAAUAGAACCUGAAACCGUGUGCCUACAACAAGUUCGAGCCCGUUAAUGGGUGAGAGCGUGCCCUUUGUAGAAUGAACCGGCGAGUUACGUUAUGAUGCGAGGUUAAGUUGAAGAGACGGAGCCGUAGGGAAACCGAGUCUGAAUAGGGCGCCUUAGUAUCAUGACGUAGACCCGAAACCAUGUGACCUACCCAUGAGCAGGUUGAAGGUGCGGUAAGACGCACUGGAGGACCGAACCAGGGCACGUUGAAAAGUGCUUGGAUGACUUGUGGGUAGCGGAGAAAUUCCAAACGAACUUGGAGAUAGCUGGUUCUCUCCGAAUAGCUUUAGGGCUAGCGUCGACAUUAGAGAUUCUUGGAGGUAGAGCACUGUUUGGGUGAGGGGUCCAUCCCGGAUUACCAAUCUCAGAUAAACUCCGAAUGCCAAUGAAUUAUGGUCGGCAGUCAGACUGCGAGUGCUAAGAUCCGUAGUCGAAAGGGAAACAGCCCAGACCACCAGCUAAGGUCCCAAAAUAAUUGUUAAGUGGAAAAGGAUGUGGGGUUGCACAGACAACUAGGAUGUUAGCUUAGAAGCAGCUAUUCAUUCAAAGAGUGCGUAAUAGCUCACUAGUCGAGUGUACCCUGACGCCGAAAAUGUACCGGGGCUUAAAACAAUUUUACCGAAGCUGUGGAUACCUUUAUAGGUAUGGUAGGAGAGCGUUCUAUGUGUGAUGAAGGUAUACCGUGAGGAGUGCUGGAACGCAUAGAAGUGAGAAUGCCGGUAUGAGUAGCGAAAGACAGGUGAGAAUCCUGUCCACCGUAAGACUAAGGUUUCCAGGGGAAGGCUCGUCCGCCCUGGGUUAGUCGGGACCUAAGGAGAGACCGAAAGGUGUAUCCGAUGGACAACAGGUUGAUAUUCCUGUACUAGAGUAUGUAGUGAUGGAGGGACGCAGUAGGCUAACUAAAGCAGACGAUUGGAAGAGUCUGUCUAAGCAGUGAGGUGUGAAUUGAGUCAAAUGCUUAAUUCUAUAACAUUGAGCUGUGAUGGGGAGCGAAGUUUAGUAGCGAAGUUAGUGACGUCACACUGCCAAGAAAAGCUUCUAGCGUUUAAACAUACUCUACCCGUACCGCAAACCGACACAGGUAGUCGAGGCGAGUAGCCUCAGGUGAGCGAGAGAACUCUCGUUAAGGAACUCGGCAAAAUGACCCCGUAACUUCGGGAGAAGGGGUGCUGACUUAAAGUCAGCCGCAGUGAAUAGGCCCAAGCAACUGUUUAUCAAAAACACAGCUCUCUGCUAAAUCGUAAGAUGAUGUAUAGGGGGUGACGCCUGCCCGGUGCUGGAAGGUUAAGAGGAGUGCUUAGCGUAAGCGAAGGUAUGAAUUGAAGCCCCAGUAAACGGCGGCCGUAACUAUAACGGUCCUAAGGUAGCGAAAUUCCUUGUCGGGUAAGUUCCGACCCGCACGAAAGGCGUAAUGAUUUGGGCACUGUCUCAACGAGAGACUCGGUGAAAUUUUAGUACCUGUGAAGAUGCAGGUUACCCGCGACAGGACGGAAAGACCCCAUGGAGCUUUACUGCAGUUUGAUAUUGAGUGUCUGUACCACAUGUACAGGAUAGGUAGGAGUCUAAGAGAUCGGGACGCCAGUUUCGAAGGAGACGCUGUUGGGAUACUACCCUUGUGUUAUGGCCACUCUAACCCAGAUAGGUGAUCCCUAUCGGAGACAGUGUCUGACGGGCAGUUUGACUGGGGCGGUCGCCUCCUAAAAGGUAACGGAGGCGCCCAAAGGUUCCCUCAGAAUGGUUGGAAAUCAUUCGCAGAGUGUAAAGGUAUAAGGGAGCUUGACUGCGAGAGCUACAACUCGAGCAGGGACGAAAGUCGGGCUUAGUGAUCCGGUGGUUCCGUAUGGAAGGGCCAUCGCUCAACGGAUAAAAGCUACCCUGGGGAUAACAGGCUUAUCUCCCCCAAGAGUUCACAUCGACGGGGAGGUUUGGCACCUCGAUGUCGGCUCGUCGCAUCCUGGGGCUGUAGUCGGUCCCAAGGGUUGGGCUGUUCGCCCAUUAAAGCGGCACGCGAGCUGGGUUCAGAACGUCGUGAGACAGUUCGGUCCCUAUCCGUCGCGGGCGUAGGAAAUUUGAGAGGAUCUGCUCCUAGUACGAGAGGACCAGAGUGGACUUACCGCUGGUGUACCAGUUGUCUUGCCAAAGGCAUCGCUGGGUAGCUAUGUAGGGAAGGGAUAAACGCUGAAAGCAUCUAAGUGUGAAACCCACCUCAAGAUGAGAUUUCCCAUGAUUAUAUAUCAGUAAGAGCCCUGAGAGAUGAUCAGGUAGAUAGGUUAGAAGUGGAAGUGUGGCGACACAUGUAGCGGACUAAUACUAAUAGCUCGAGGACUUAUCCA
RNAcentral lists this ribosomal RNA (2903 nucleotides) under Streptococcus pneumoniae 4027-06. RNAcentral's name for it is "bacterial LSU rRNA". It matches the Rfam family "Bacterial large subunit ribosomal RNA". The record is from RNAcentral. Lineage: Bacteria; Bacillati; Bacillota; Bacilli; Lactobacillales; Streptococcaceae.